GAUGAACGCUAGCUACAGGCUUAACACAUGCAAGUCGAGGGGAAACGAUAUUGGAAGCUUGCUUCCGAUAGGCGUCGACCGGCGCACGGGUGAGUAACGCGUAACAAACCUGCCCACCACUUGGGGAUAACCUUGCGAAAGUAAGACUAAUACCAAAUGAUAUCUCUCGAAGACAUCUGAUGGUGAUUAAAGAUUUAACGGUGAUGGAUGGGGAUGCGUCGGAUUAGCUUGUUGGCGGGGUAACGGCCACCCAAGGCGACGAUCAGUAGGGGUUCUGAGAGGAAGGUCCCCCACAUUGGAACUGAGAUACGGUCCAAACUCCUACGGGAGGCAGCAGUGAGGAAUAUUGGUCAAUGGGCGAGAGCCUGAACCAGCCAAGUAGCGUGCAGGAUGACGGCCCUAUGGGUUGUAAACUGCUUUUAUAAGGGAAUAAAGUGAGCCUCGUGAGGCUUUUUGCAUGUACCUUAUGAAUAAGGACCGGCUAAUUCCGUGCCAGCCGCCGCGGUAA
RNAcentral lists this ribosomal RNA (508 nucleotides) under uncultured bacterium. RNAcentral describes it as "partial 16S ribosomal RNA". It matches the Rfam family "Bacterial small subunit ribosomal RNA", at positions 28 to 523 of the family's 1533-position model. The record is from RNAcentral.